GAUGAACGCUGGCGGCGUGCCUAAUACAUGCCAGUCGAGCGAACAGACGAGGAGCUUGCUCCUCUGACGUUAGCGGCGGACGGGUGAGUAACACGUGGAUAACCUACCUAUAAGACUGGGAUAACUUCGGGAAACCGGAGCUAAUACCGGAUAAUAUAUUGAACCGCAUGGUUCAAUAGUGAAAGACGGUUUUGCUGUCACUUAUAGAUGGAUCCGCGCCGCAUUAGCUAGUUGGUAAGGUAACGGCUUACCAAGGCAACGAUGCGUAGCCGACCUGAGAGGGUGAUCGGCCACACGGGAACUGAGACACGGUCCAGACUCCUACGGGAGGCAGCAGUAGGGAAUCGUCCGCAAUGGGCGAAAGCCUGACGGAACAACGCCGCGUGAGUGAUGAAGGUCUUCGGAUCGUAAAACUCUGUUAUUAGGGAAGAACAAAUGUGUAAGUAACUAUGCACGUCUUGACGGUACCUAAUCAGAAAGCCACGGCUAACUACGUG
This 497-nucleotide ribosomal RNA is filed under the name uncultured bacterium. RNAcentral's name for it is "partial 16S ribosomal RNA". It matches the Rfam family "Bacterial small subunit ribosomal RNA", at positions 28 to 507 of the family's 1533-position model. The record is from RNAcentral.